This 199-nucleotide ribosomal RNA is filed under the name Escherichia coli. RNAcentral's name for it is "partial 23S ribosomal RNA". It matches the Rfam family "Bacterial large subunit ribosomal RNA", at positions 1 to 191 of the family's 2925-position model. The record is from RNAcentral. Lineage: Bacteria; Pseudomonadati; Pseudomonadota; Gammaproteobacteria; Enterobacterales; Enterobacteriaceae.
GGGUUGUGAGGUUAAGCGACUAAGCGUACACGGUGGAUGCCUUGGCAGUCAGAGGCGAUGAAGGACGUGCUAAUCUGCGAUAAGCGUCGGUAAGGUGAUAUGAACCGUUAUAACCGGCGAUUUCCGAAUGGGGAAACCCAGUGUGAUUCGUCACACUAUCAUUAACUGAAUCCAUAGGUUAAUGAGGCGAACCGGGGGA